This 402-nucleotide long non-coding RNA is filed under the name Ananas comosus (pineapple). Its description in RNAcentral is "long non-coding RNA (ACOM_LNC004130)". The record is from RNAcentral. Lineage: Eukaryota; Viridiplantae; Streptophyta; Magnoliopsida; Poales; Bromeliaceae.
GUAUUAAAAGUAUUUAGACAAUAAAUUUUACGAUUUAUCAUAUCAUUUACUUAGUAAUUGAAAGAGUCUAAAGUUAAUAAUUAUAAUAAUUAGGGGAUGAGCCGUUUGCAAAUUUAGUAGUAUAGAAAUAUCUAGGUCAUAUAAAAUUUGAUAUAAAAGUUUUUAUAAUAUAUAAAACAAGCUCAAUGUUUUUUAUCUAAAAUUUUAGCAUCGUAUUAUUAGUUUUUGUGAGAUUUUUAUUUUUAGCUGUUAAUUUUAAAUAUUUUCGAGUACGAGGCAAAUGAUAACCAAGAUUUGCAAAAUUUAUUUUAUAGAUGCUUUCAAUACUGUACAUCGAAUCUAACUACGUCGAUCAUUGAUUUGAAAGCCUCAGCAUCGUAUACUAUUAAUUAAUAAUACAAU